UAUACUUGGACACAAUAAGAAUGAUAAUUUCUUAUUUUUCUAUAGAGACCUGUUUACUGCACUGCCCCACACAGAUCUUUGGAGCCAGUUGGUCAGACCAUUUACUGUAAAUUUAAAUUGCUUAUUUAAAAUGCUUAGAAUAAGUGAAAAAGCUACAUCCAUAGAUACCAGGUGGAAAUUAUAUUCCUAGCUCAGAACAAAGCAGUUAAUUUUCAGUAACGAUCUAAAAAUGCUGACAUUUGGAUUCAAAAGAUUAAUGCUAAAAUACGAUGUUCUAUUUUCAGGAUUUGCCUAAGCUCUUAUUGCAAAUCAUUCUCUAUACUUAAAUUAUGAUUAUACUGUACAAAACAGUACAGUAGAAUCACUCUGGGGUUACACAUAGAAUGCCUAAAAGCUGAGCUCAGCAUGCCCAGGUAAGUACAGUAAUAGGUUUAAAAAGCUUCUGGUAAUGGAAAUAGAAGCUCCUGUGGGAUAGGGAGUUUAGAAUGUCUGUAAAUGCUUUCUUUCCACUAAGCAUACAUACAAAUAUAAACAUGAGCAGAAUAUUGCUUAUUAUGUCAGAGUUGCAUUUAAAAGCAGAACAGGGACUGUUUGUAGAACUGGCUGGCGUUCCCGGAUCUUGAAGUCAGCUGCCAGUUACAGGUGCAGAAUUGCAGCUAUGGUGUUCCAUGUGUGUUGCACCAUGCUUCAAAAAAUUAUUACCAGUGAAAGAACAGCUGUAGCUUUGCCACUUCCUUCUCCCACUCCUGUAACAUACUCCAGAAACGUGGAAGAGGGAGGCACAGGAGGCAAUUAUGCCAGAGUAGAGCUCUUCUAUAGAUCUAAAUGCUUGUAUCUGUGUGAUUCCACAUUGAAGUACAUCCUUUCAAGCUAGCUCUGCCACCCAUAUACACCAAGAAUAUUUGGCUGAAAUCAGUGCAAUUAAAGCUGGGGUAAGGGAAUCAAGGCCAUCUCACUAUCUAUUAAAAUCCAGUGGAAUGUUCUGAAAGUGGAAACAAUAUGCAGGGCUUUUGAAGGCUAACAUUUACAUUUUCAGUAUCAGUGCAAUACUGUUUUAAAUAGAAUAAUUAAAAUAUAUUUUUCUGUGGACAUAUCUCACUAUAAUUGCACACAGGUUUGUUUUCAGAACAUAAGACUUUUUCACAAACAGCAGCAAUUGUAAACUUAUUGAUUUUAAAGGAAUUAAAAAACAA
Molecule: long non-coding RNA, 1193 nt
Organism: Pipra filicauda (Wire-tailed manakin)
Lineage: Eukaryota; Metazoa; Chordata; Aves; Passeriformes; Pipridae
Exons: 2
Source: RefSeq, a predicted model, not a curated record